UUGCAUCUGCAAUUCCAGGACUCUGGAGCUUGCUCUGUUGGCGGCAAGUUAGCAGAAUUCUUUGCAGAGCCAUUAUUUUAGAUGUUGCUGGAAUUCUGUUCAAAUGUUCAAAAAGUAAAAAGACUGCCCUGAAGAUUUUGUUCUUAUUCUAAACUGGGGAAAACUCCCCACUUAGCUAAAGAACUGGACCUGUGGGAAAAAAAGGAGAUUCUUUUCCGAGACCAUUCCUUCAUUCUGGUUCCUGGAGGAGCGACCUGUGAAUUCCUGAUGACAGACAGUUCCCUUAAAAUUCUACAUGAAUUUUUUACAAGGUUUAAAGGAAUGUAGUGAGAGAUGGACAUAAGGAACAAAACAUUGUUUAGGUAAGU
RNAcentral lists this long non-coding RNA (368 nucleotides) under Struthio camelus australis. RNAcentral's name for it is "lncRNA (ENSSCUG00000001050.1)". The record is from RNAcentral. Lineage: Eukaryota; Metazoa; Chordata; Aves; Struthioniformes; Struthionidae.